Molecule: ribosomal RNA, 253 nt
Filed under: uncultured bacterium
Lineage: Bacteria
Description: partial 16S ribosomal RNA
Rfam family: Bacterial small subunit ribosomal RNA
Source: RNAcentral
GCCGAACCGAGCGAACGUUAUUCGGAAUCACUGGGCUUAAAGGGCGCGUAGGCGGGUCAGCAAGUCAGGGGUGAAAUCCCACGGCUCAACCGUGGAAGUGCCUUUGAUACUGUUGAUCUCGAGGGAGGUAGGGGCGUGCGGAACUUCCGGUGGAGCGGUGAAAUGCGUAGAUAUCGGAAGGAACACCGGUGGCGAAAGCGGCGCGCUGGACCUCUUCUGACGCUGAGGCGCGAAAGCCAGGGGAGCAAACGGG